Gordionus sp. m RMFG-2023 is the source of this 397-nucleotide long non-coding RNA. RefSeq lists it as uncharacterized. The record is from RefSeq and is a predicted model, not a curated record. The transcript has 3 exons. Lineage: Eukaryota; Metazoa; Nematomorpha; Gordioida; Chordodea; Parachordodidae.
CAUAUAUAUAUAUUUUGUAUAUAAAGCAACCAUUUUCAUUCAAAACUAUUUUGGACAAUUAAUUUUUCAAAAUUUAAAAAAGACAUAUACCAUUAUUUUACUCUGUUUUUCUCGGGAACUAGGAAGCCAAUUAUUAACCAACUCAACACUCGCGAUAAGAAUGAAAUAUUUCACUUCAAUACUCCUACUUUUUGUAGUGGUUUUGGCGGCAGCAGUGUUACAAAACGCUAAAGUGAGUGCUCAAUUUGGUGCAGUAUUUCUUUAUGAUUUCGUAAAGAAUGAAGUUUAUGAUAAUAAUAAAAUUGCUUGAAUAUUGAAGAUUUGUUUAUUCUUUUAUAUAUAUAAUUAAUUUUGUAAUUAAUUUUAAUCCAUUACAUUCUCAUACUUUUUAAAUAAA